UGGGGAAUAUUGCACAAUGGGCGCAAGCCUGAUGCAGCCAUGCCGCGUGUAUGAAGAGGCCUUCGGGUUGUAAAGUACUUUCAGCGAGGAGGAAGGUGUUGUGGGUUUAAUAACCACAGCAAUUGACGUUACUCGCAGAAGAAGCACCGGCUAACUCCGUGCCACAGCCGCGGUAAUACGGGGGUGCAAGCGUUAAUCGGAAUUACUGGGCGUAAAGCGCACGCAGGCGGUCUGUCAAGUCGGAUGUGAAAUCCCCCGGGCUCAACCUGGGAACUGCAUCCGAAACUGGCAGGCUAGAGUCUUGUAGA
Molecule: ribosomal RNA, 308 nt
Filed under: uncultured Enterobacteriaceae bacterium
Lineage: Bacteria; Pseudomonadati; Pseudomonadota; Gammaproteobacteria; Enterobacterales; Enterobacteriaceae
Description: bacterial SSU rRNA
Rfam family: Bacterial small subunit ribosomal RNA
Source: RNAcentral